Molecule: ribosomal RNA, 497 nt
Filed under: uncultured bacterium
Lineage: Bacteria
Description: partial 16S ribosomal RNA
Rfam family: Bacterial small subunit ribosomal RNA
Source: RNAcentral
GAUGAACGCUGGCGGCGUGCCUAAUACAUGCAAGUCGAGCGAACAGACGAGGAGCUUGCUCCUUUGACGUUAGCGGCGGACGGGUGAGUAACACGUGGGUAACCUACCUAUAAGACUGGGAUAACUUCGGGAAACCGGAGCUAAUACCGGAUAAUAUUUCGAACCGCAUGGUUCGAUAGUGAAAGAUGGCUUUGCUAUCACUUAUAGAUGGACCUGCGCCGUAUUAGCUAGUUGGUAAGGUAACGGCUUACCAAGGCAACGAUACGUAGCCGACCUGAGAGGGUGAUCGGCCACACUGGAACUGAGACACGGUCCAGACUCCUACGGGAGGCAGCGGUAGGGAAUCUUCCGCAAUGGGCGAAAGCCUGACGGAGCAACGCCGCGUGAGUGAUGAAGGUCUUCGGAUCGUAAAACUCUGUUAUUAGGGAAGAACAAACGUGUAAGUAACUGUGCACGUCUUGACGGUACCUAAUCAGAAAGCCACGGCUAACUACGUG